UUUUAAUUGUGAAUAUACACUUUAAGUUUAAGCGUAAAGUGAUUCUAAGAGUGGUAGAUUUAAGUAAAACGUGUUUCAUUUUAAAAUUUGUAUCAAAUAUAUAGUAUAAUGCUUUAUACAACAUCAAAAAAAACGUGCCCAUAAAAACAUAAAACUACGGCCUAUAUUGUACAUUUUGAAAUGUCUACACAUAGCAGGGCAUUUGUUGAUCCACAGACAUAUCCACAUCCCUCAGAAGCACCUAAUAUCAAAACAGAUCAAAUAAACCAUCAAAAGACAUGCAUAUAUAAGUACAUAAUAAUAACAUACAUACAUACAUAAACACAUAUAGUAUACACUCACAAAGAACAUCAUAGUAAGGAAAUGAGAGAGAUCCAUCUACAGAAAUUUAAAUGUACACGUGAAGCCACAUUUGAACACAUUUUUAUUUGUACGAUCAAAUCAAAUAAAAAUACAAUUGCAAUGACAAUGACCAGUCGUCUGAACAUCUACAAACGAAUCAACAAGACUGAUCAACAUUAUUCUACACCUUUACACUCGUAUAUUGGAGAAGUGCUGGACUACGUUAUAUGAGAUGAAAUUUAACUGCUGGUUAGCAAAACACAUAAACAAAUUUUGAUUUCAUACUCGGACUUAGAUAUACUUGUGCUUUAUGAUUGAAAGAAAGAUAAAAUAAGUUGUAGAGAGAGAGAGAGAGAGACAGAGAGAGAGAGAGAGAGAGAUAAUGCACAAUUUAUAUGUGAUUGAACCUUUAAGAGCGUCUCUCAAUUUUAUACUUUACCACCGGAUUGAACUUAAGCUUAUAUCUGAAGCACCUCACGGACUAUGACCUUAUACCCAGAUUGAACUUUAGAGCAACGCGCUAUUGAGCAUCAGCUAUUGUCUUUCCUUGAUGCGGCAUGAAGAGAGUUGGGUUCCUGUUGUUGCAGCUCAUUAACGAGUUGAGCCUCAAAUCAAUUCUCGAAGAGCUCCCGCAGCAGCUAUAG
Molecule: long non-coding RNA, 986 nt
Organism: Scaptodrosophila lebanonensis
Lineage: Eukaryota; Metazoa; Arthropoda; Insecta; Diptera; Drosophilidae
Exons: 5
Source: RefSeq, a predicted model, not a curated record